UACGUAGGGGGCGAGCGUUGUUCGGAUUUACUGGGCGUAAAGGGCGCGUAGGCGGCCAGCACAAGUCAGUUGUGAAAUCUCCGGGCUUAACUCGGAAAGGUCAACUGAUACUGUGCGGCUAGAGUGCAGAAGGGGCAACUGGAAUUCUCGGUGUAGCGGUGAAAUGCGUAGAUAUCGAGAGGAACACCUGCGGCGAAGGCGGGUUGCUGGGCUGACACUGACGCUGAUGCGCGAAAGCCAGGGGAGCGAACGGG
Molecule: ribosomal RNA, 254 nt
Filed under: uncultured bacterium
Lineage: Bacteria
Description: partial 16S ribosomal RNA
Rfam family: Bacterial small subunit ribosomal RNA
Source: RNAcentral